Molecule: ribosomal RNA, 482 nt
Filed under: uncultured bacterium
Lineage: Bacteria
Description: partial 16S ribosomal RNA
Rfam family: Bacterial small subunit ribosomal RNA
Source: RNAcentral
AUUGAACGCUGGCGGCAUGCUUUACACAUGCAAGUCGAACGGUAACAGGCCGCAAGGUGCUGACGAGUGGCGAACGGGUGAGUAAUGCAUCGGAACGUGCCCAGUCGUGGGGGAUAACUACUCGAAAGAGUAGCUAAUACCGCAUACGAACUAUGGAUGAAAGCGGGGGACCGUAAGGCCUCGCGCGAUUGGAGCGGCCGAUGUCAGAUUAGGUAGUUGGUGGGGUAAAGGCUCACCAAGCCAACGAUCUGUAGCUGGUCUGAGAGGUCGACCAGCCACACUGGGACUGAGACACGGCCCAGACUCCUACGGGAGGCAGCAGUGGGGAAGUUUGGACAAUGGGCGCAAGCCUGAUCCAGCAAUGCCGCGUGCAGGAAGAAGGCCUUCGGGUUGUAAACUGCUUUUGUACGGAACGAAACGGCUCUGGUUAAUACCCGGGGCUAAUGACGGUACCGUAAGAAUAAGCACCGGCUAACUACGUG